This 254-nucleotide ribosomal RNA is filed under the name uncultured bacterium. RNAcentral's name for it is "partial 16S ribosomal RNA". It matches the Rfam family "Bacterial small subunit ribosomal RNA", at positions 524 to 776 of the family's 1533-position model. The record is from RNAcentral.
UACGGGGGGAGCAAGCGUUGUUCGGAUUUACUGGGCGUAAAGGGCGCGUAGGCGGUCACCGCAAGUCAGUUGUGAAAUCUCUGGGCUUAACCCAGAAAGGUCAACUGAUACUGCGGGGCUAGAGUGCAGAAGGGGCAACUGGAAUUCUCGGUGUAGCGGUGAAAUGCGUAGAUAUCGAGAGGAACACCUGCGGCGAAGGCGGGUUGCUGGGCUGACACUGACGCUGAAGCGCGAAAGCUAGGGGAGCGAACGGG